This is a long non-coding RNA of Notolabrus celidotus (New Zealand spotty), 260 nucleotides long. RefSeq lists it as uncharacterized. The record is from RefSeq and is a predicted model, not a curated record. The transcript has 3 exons. NCBI's taxonomy places the organism in Eukaryota, Metazoa, Chordata, Actinopteri, Labriformes, Labridae.
AGGUGCGAAUCACUCUUUCAUGACUCAAUGCUGGCCUUGUUAUGAAGGAGACCCAGAAAUAGUUGAACUCUUUUUUUAUUCUUCACUGUGUUAUUAAAGAGUUGCUUCACAGAUGUGUACUCUGUGGCACAUCUAGUGCUGAAAAAGAAGCAGAUUCCCAAUGCAGGUAUACAACCAGAGCAGCAUCUCCAGUAAGGCCUACGGUACAACCUUGGUCAAGUUCAGCUCUGGCAGGAUAACGCUGAGACGGAACACCCAUC